Molecule: ribosomal RNA, 450 nt
Filed under: uncultured bacterium
Lineage: Bacteria
Description: partial 16S ribosomal RNA
Rfam family: Bacterial small subunit ribosomal RNA
Source: RNAcentral
GUGGGGAAUUUUGGACAAUGGGCGCAAGCCUGAUCCAGCAAUGCCGCGUGUGUGAAGAAGGCCUUCGGGUUGUAAAGCACUUUUGUCCGGAAAGAAAUCUCCUGGGUUAAUACCUCGGGGGGAUGACGGUACCGGAAGAAUAAGCACCGGCUAACUACGUGCCAGCAGCCGCGGUAAUACGUAGGGUGCGAGCGUUAAUCGGAAUUACUGGGCGUAAAGCGUGCGCAGGCGGUGCUGUAAGACAGGCGUGAAAUCCCCGGGCUCAACCUGGGGAUUGCGCUUGUGACUGCAGUGCUGGAGUGCGGCAGAGGGGGAUGGAAUUCCGCGUGUAGCAGUGAAAUGCGUAGAGAUGCGGAGGAACACCGAUGGCGAAGGCAGCCUCCUGGGAUGACACUGACGCUCAUGCACGAAAGCGUGGGGAGCAAACAGGAUUAGAAACCCGGGUAGUCC